Acanthosepion pharaonis is the source of this 111-nucleotide non-coding RNA. The record is from the annotation of a GenBank genome assembly. Lineage: Eukaryota; Metazoa; Mollusca; Cephalopoda; Sepiida; Sepiidae.
UACGGUGACAUCACGUUGAAACACCGCUUCCCGUACAAUCACCGAAGUUAAGAAACGCCGAGACUAGUUAUUACCUUGAUGAGUGACCGCUUGGGAAUACCAGAUGAUGUA